CAGCCGGCUGGACUCCCCCUCAGCCUCGGGUAAACACCGGCCAGGUAGACAGGUCAGCACUUCUCCUUCCAUGGGGCAGUAACCCUUCCCCUCUAGGUAACCUCCAACUGAAGAAAAAAUGGCAAGAGCAAGACAAGCCUGCUGCCGCCCAUGCAGAAGAUCCCCAAGGGGCAAAAGACGACAAAGCAGGAAGAGGAGGAGGAGAAGGAGGAGGAGAGGAAAGAAAUCAUCCUUCGUGGUGAGCACGACUUACUACUACCGGAGAAAAAGAUAAUUUCCGGUACCUUCCUUUCGUCUUGGCUGAGAACGACGACCAGAAGCCACCAAGAGCCGUCACCGCCGGAACAGUUUCCGGCACUGAGAAUGGACGCCGAAAGGCCGGGUAACACUAUGUGUGGUCCCAGAGUGGUGACUUAACGAUCCCCGAUCCAUCUCUUUUUGGAGGAAAGCCAAGACCUGUCAAUAAACCUGUAGCAAGCAAAUAAAUCAAAAA
Molecule: long non-coding RNA, 493 nt
Organism: Ornithorhynchus anatinus (platypus)
Lineage: Eukaryota; Metazoa; Chordata; Mammalia; Monotremata; Ornithorhynchidae
Exons: 2
Source: RefSeq, a predicted model, not a curated record